RNAcentral lists this ribosomal RNA (492 nucleotides) under uncultured bacterium. RNAcentral's name for it is "partial 16S ribosomal RNA". It matches the Rfam family "Bacterial small subunit ribosomal RNA", at positions 29 to 507 of the family's 1533-position model. The record is from RNAcentral.
AGUGAACGCUGGCGGUAGGCCUAGCACAUGCAAGUCGAACGGCAGCACAGUAAGAGCUUGCUCUUACGGGUGGCGAGUGGCGGACGGGUGAGGAAUACAUCGGAAUCUACUUUUUCGUGGGGGAUAACGUAGGGAAACUUACGCUAAUACCGCAUACGACCUACGGGUGAAAGCAGGGGAUCUUCGGACCUUGCGCGACUGAAUGAGCCGAUGUCGGAUUAGCUAGUUGGCGGGGUAAGGGCCCACCAAGGCGACGAUCCGUAGCUGGUCUGAGAGGAUGAUCGGCCACACUGGAACUGAGACACGGUCCAGACUCCUACGGGAGGCAGCAGUGGGGAAUAUUGGGCAAUGGGCGCAAGCCUGAUCCAGCCAUACCGCGUGGGUGAAGAAGGCCUUCGGGUUGUAAAGCCCUUUUGUUGGGAAAGAAAAGCAGCAGGUUAAUACCCCGCUGUUCUGACGGUACCCAAAGAAUAAGCACCGGCUAACUUCGUG